RNAcentral lists this transfer RNA (76 nucleotides) under Clostridiales bacterium. Its description in RNAcentral is "tRNA-Lys". It matches the Rfam family "tRNA". From Rfam's summary of the family: Transfer RNA (tRNA) molecules are approximately 80 nucleotides in length. Their secondary structure includes four short double-helical elements and three loops (D, anti-codon, and T loops). Further hydrogen bonds mediate the characteristic L-shaped molecular structure. tRNAs have two regions of fundamental functional importance: the anti-codon, which is responsible for specific mRNA codon recognition, and the 3' end, to which the tRNAs corresponding amino acid is attached (by aminoacyl-tRNA synthetases). tRNAs cope with the degeneracy of the genetic code in two manners: having more than one tRNA (with a specific anti-codon) for a particular amino acid; and 'wobble' base-pairing, i.e. permitting non-standard base-pairing at the 3rd anti-codon position. The record is from RNAcentral. Lineage: Bacteria; Bacillati; Bacillota; Clostridia; Eubacteriales. RNAcentral also lists the same sequence under 3 other names.
GCCCCAUUAGCUCAGACGGUAGAGCACUUGACUUUUAAUCAAGGUGUCCGGAGUUCGAGUCUCCGAUGGAGCACCA